AGACUUCAAAUAAGGAUUUUCCGCCCUAUAUUAGUCCUGCCGGCGGGAUUUCCCGUCCGGCUAUGGUGAUAAACGGACUGUGAAAUAAGCCAUUCGGACCCGGGGGCGGUACCCGGCGCCUCCACCAUGUUCCCCCUGUCGUGGCAGGGUUCCUGGGGGCGAAACAGGAUCGACGAGGGUGUAAAGACAGUCUUUUUGCCCGGCAUGGUUCCGCCGUCAUCGGGCCGUUUUAUAGUUGCCAACGACAACUAUGCUGAGGCACGUCUCGCUGCGUAAGCGGUGCGACAACCU
RNAcentral lists this transfer-messenger RNA (291 nucleotides) under Alphaproteobacteria bacterium HGW-Alphaproteobacteria-12. Its description in RNAcentral is "partial transfer-messenger RNA". It matches the Rfam family "Alphaproteobacteria transfer-messenger RNA", at positions 1 to 285 of the family's 355-position model. From Rfam's summary of the family: Bacterial tmRNA, also known as 10Sa RNA or SsrA, is named for its dual tRNA and mRNA-like properties. Its role is to liberate the mRNA from a stalled ribosome. Lineage: Bacteria; Pseudomonadati; Pseudomonadota; Alphaproteobacteria. The record is from RNAcentral.